Molecule: ribosomal RNA, 738 nt
Filed under: uncultured Actinomycetes bacterium
Lineage: Bacteria; Bacillati; Actinomycetota; Actinomycetes
Description: bacterial SSU rRNA
Rfam family: Bacterial small subunit ribosomal RNA
Source: RNAcentral
GGGAUAAAGCUUGGGAAAACUGGGUCUAAUACCGGAUAGGACAACCUGUUUAUGUCAUUGUGGAAAGUUUUUUCGGUGCAAGAUGAGCUUGCGGCCUAUCAGCUUGUUGGUGGGCGUAAUGGCCUACCAAGGCGUCGACGGGUAGCCGGCCUGAGAGGGUGUACGGCCACAUUGGGACUGAGAUACGGCCCAGACUCCUACGGGAGGCACCCAGUGGGGAAUAUUGCACAAUGGGCGGAAGCCUGAUGCAGCGACGCCGCGUGGGGGAUGAAGGCCUUCGGGUUGUAAACUCCUUUCGACAGGGACGAAGCGUAAGUGACGGUACCUGUAUAAGAAGCACCGGCUAACUACGUGCCAGCAGCCGCGGUAAUACGUAGGGUGCGAGCGUUGUCCGGAAUUACUGGGCGUAAAGAGCUCGUAGGUGGUUUGUCGCGUCGUCUGUGAAAUUCCGGGGCUUAACUCCGGGCGUGCAGGCCGACCCGGGCUGACUUGAGUGCUGUAGGGGAGACUGGAAUUCCUGGUGUAGCGGUGAAAUGCGCAGAUAUCAGGAGGAACACCGAUGGCGAAGGCAGGUCUCUGGGCAGUAACUGACGCUGAGGAGCGAAAGCAUGGGUAGCGAACAGGAUUAGAUACCCUGGUAGUCCAUGCCCCCACGGUGGGCGCUAGGUGUAGGGGGCUUCCACGUCUUCUGUGCCGUAGCUACGCAUUAAGCGCCCCACCUGGGGAGUACGCCGCAAG